Molecule: long non-coding RNA, 498 nt
Filed under: Fukomys damarensis (Damara mole-rat)
Lineage: Eukaryota; Metazoa; Chordata; Mammalia; Rodentia; Bathyergidae
Description: lncRNA (ENSFDAG00000022674.1)
Source: RNAcentral
AUGCACACAAACAGGCCUAGGCGAAACACAGAGGCUGUGUCCAAAAGCUGGAAGUUUGUUUGUUUACAGGAGUGGAGUUUCCCCGCACUUAUCCAGAGAGUGAUUUACAAAGCUGAGUUAAAACUCUGGCGCGCUCUGUUUUGGGUAAGGCCCCCUAAGGAUGAGAAGUUCCAGGUACUCACAGAGGGGCCUGGCCCUGCCCAGCAAAAAGGCCGAGGGUUUCUUAACUGAUUGGGACCCUCCACAAGCUCCAGACACUGCCCUUAACCGCUUCCCUACCCCGUGCAACCUCAGGGGAGCUAUGAAGAGGUGGGAGUCUCAGAAGAGCCUCAGAUCCGCGCCAGGCUCCUCAGGCCGGCAAGAAGGAGGUGACCUAUAACCAAGCUAUUCAGGUCCAGACAGCCCAGCCCCACCUGGCCGCUGUGGGUCGCGGUACCCGGCCUCACUAUCCAGCCUCCGCAAAACUGGACUCAGACCCAUUCUAGGAGCCAUGGAUGG